AACGAACGCUGGCGGCAGGCCUAACACAUGCAAGUCGAGCGCCCAGCAAUGGGAGCGGCGGACGGGUGAGUAACGCGUGGGAAUUUUUCCUGGAGUACGGAACAACCGAGGGAAACUUCGGCUAAUACCGUAUGAUGUCUAGCGACCAAAGAUUUAUCGCUCUGGGGUAAGCCCGCGUCAGAUUAGGUAGUUGGUGGGGUAACGGCCUACCAAGCCUGCGAUCUGUAGCUGGUCUGAGAGGACGAUCAGCCACACUGGGACUGAGACACGGCCCAGACUCCUACGGGAGGCAGCAGUGGGGAAUAUUGGACAAUGGGCGAAAGCCUGAUCCAGCCAUGCCGCGUGAGUGAUGAAGGCCUUAGGUUGUAAAGCUCUUUUACCCGGGAAGAUAAUGACGGUACCGGGAGAAUAAGCCCCGGCUAACUUCGUGCC
This 432-nucleotide ribosomal RNA is filed under the name uncultured bacterium. RNAcentral's name for it is "bacterial SSU rRNA". It matches the Rfam family "Bacterial small subunit ribosomal RNA", at positions 29 to 509 of the family's 1533-position model. The record is from RNAcentral.